This 251-nucleotide ribosomal RNA is filed under the name uncultured bacterium. RNAcentral's name for it is "partial 16S ribosomal RNA". It matches the Rfam family "Bacterial small subunit ribosomal RNA", at positions 78 to 334 of the family's 1533-position model. The record is from RNAcentral.
CUUUUGCUGGCGACCGGCGCACGGGUGAGUAACACGUAUCCAACCUGCCCUUUACUCGGGGAUAGCCUUUCGAAAGAAAGAUUAAUACCCGAUAGCAUAAUGAUUCCGCAUGGUUUCAUUAUUAAAGGAUUCCGGUAAAGGAUGGGGAUGCGUUCCAUUAGGUUGUUGGUGAGGUAACGGCUCACCAAGCCUUCGAUGGAUAGGGGUUCUGAGAGGAAGGUCCCCCACAUUGGAACUGAGACACGAUCCAA